Molecule: long non-coding RNA, 967 nt
Organism: Oncorhynchus nerka (sockeye salmon)
Lineage: Eukaryota; Metazoa; Chordata; Actinopteri; Salmoniformes; Salmonidae
Exons: 2
Source: RefSeq, a predicted model, not a curated record
UUUUGCUUGUUAUGCUUAAGGUAAUCUCAGCGAUUCCACGACGGGAUUCCACGACGACAAGGAUGACGGACAGGGAGGGCAGCAGCCACACGUCAGAACAGCUGCAGGAAAGAGAGAACAGAACUCAUCGGUCAGAGUCAGACCACUCCAGUCAUCCUGCCCUGACAUCCACAGAGGCGCCAGGGCAGCUCUUUGGGCUUCCGAUCUUCUUAAUGUUUCCAAUGACGAUGUUUUAAAACAGGCAAACUGUAAGGUUCACCUGUCCAGAGGCUGACACCAUAAGAAAUGAGACCCCAUAGAAUCUUUGCGCCUUGAAUUUGAGUGCGUUUGAUAGGUCAAUCAUCUAGGAUUCUAAUCAGCAAAUCAGAGCUCAUUCUUUUAUCUUACAGUUGAUGUGAACAGGGGAAACUGCUUGCUUUAUUCAUGUUUACUUGCCUGGGGGUUUGCAUAAAGGCCUCUCAUAAAUUAUCUGUACAGCGUGCAUUCCACACAAACCUACUGUAGAGCUCACGAUACAAUCCAGACUGAUUCAAGCUUUGUUCAUUCAUUGGUUUAAGGUAGACAGCGGUAAUCAUAUACAGUUCCUCCUAAAAGGAGGUAAAAUACCAUCCAAUAAAUUAACCUGCUGGAUAGAUCAUGCAUUAAAUAGAAUCAUUUGAUAGUGGUUAGAGAAAUCACCUCAAAUAAAACCUGGGGUGUGGAUCACAAGUCUAAACUCUGUCCCACCCACCAGACCAACUCUGAGCCCACACCUCUACAGGGUGCAAAGAACCCUCUGAAUCAAAUCCAAGGAGCCCAUUUAGUGUAAAUACAAGCCAGUGUUCAGCACACAGUGAUAUUCACACGUGUGAGAGAAGCUAUCAGAAGAAAGCGUGAGCACUGCACACGUCACACACACGCUGUGCUCUACCUGUUUGACAUUGUAGCCUGUCUUUGCACUUGUUUCAAUAAAAAGAACAUUCAGCUC